UUGCAGGACAUCCAGACCUUGAGUCAUCUUCAAGACUCUCCCUUCCCUUCCAACAUCCAGCUGCUCACUUUUGCACUGUUGAUAAAACUGGGUCAUCAUCCUCUAAUGUAGCAACCAUGUCAGCAUGAAUGUCCUUGGGGGCUAAACCCCCUUUUCUGUAGGUACUUGAUAAUACCACGAUGCCAGAUUUUGUCCAUUUUCAAGAGACGUCGCUACUUGUUACUUUUGAAGUGUUCUUUCAACAGUCAGAUGUCAGUUUAUCUGGAAAGAAAAAAUGCAGACUAUUGGUUAAAUGCUUGGCAGAUUUAACCAU
Molecule: long non-coding RNA, 313 nt
Organism: Octopus sinensis (East Asian common octopus)
Lineage: Eukaryota; Metazoa; Mollusca; Cephalopoda; Octopoda; Octopodidae
Exons: 4
Source: RefSeq, a predicted model, not a curated record